Molecule: long non-coding RNA, 2158 nt
Organism: Humulus lupulus (European hop)
Lineage: Eukaryota; Viridiplantae; Streptophyta; Magnoliopsida; Rosales; Cannabaceae
Exons: 2
Source: RefSeq, a predicted model, not a curated record
GAUUCCUUUGUUAUUUAAACGGCCCCACUCUUCAAUAUCAACAUAUUCACUUUAGUCUUUCUUAUUUUUCCCAAGUAUUCAUCAUUUUUCUCCUUCAGUCACGCCACCACCUCUAGACGACCAUGUUCCACCAGGCCGCCACCUACAUGCGCUAGCCAGGGACAACCAUCAGCCACUCAAGGCCCCUGCUCGCCAAGCGGCUAUGCCUCACUCGUUGCUAGCUGUCCGGAGAUGGAUCAUCAAAGUCCCACACAAACUUCAACUCAGUUUCUGGCUAGCUUCGAUAUAUGUUUGACAAGUCGUUUACACUGUUGAACUCAGCUCGUUAAGGAGAACGAAGACCAACAACCCAAACUUGUCAUCUUGCCAUCGUUCUUGGUGCUCUGUUUGGCCAACCCACAACUUUUUGGAGACUUUCUGGCGAUUAAUUCCAAUCACUGUUGCACUCGCAUGAUCUACUCGUUGAGGUGGUAGUUUUGAUAUAUAACACACCCACUUUCGUUGGUGUUGCUUGUGCUGGUGCACCACACCCUACCACCACCAACUGGCGCCAUGCAUUGUUUGGACUAGUCACUCUAGGAUGAUCGAUCAAGCUCAGGACGACCUCAUCAGGGAAUUAUUAAAUGUUCAUAUUUAGAGGUAGGUGUUUUGAUUACUCUUUUGAACCUAUAUUUUGAUGAUUGGAUUGCUGAUUUUAUAUUCUAAAUUUUAAUAUUUAAAAUAUUUGUGAAUUAUAAACUACACCUGUGGUUUGUACUGGACUAUUAUGACGGGUACAACAGUGUUGUGCCUAGCACUUUUGUGUAUUUUGGAUUUUAUAAAGUGGGGGCUUUUAGGUUGUCUAUGACUUUGAUUGCUCGAAUAAGAAUCUUAAUUCAACAUGCUUGUACAUAUUACUUAUUCACACCAAGUUUUUGUGGAUCAUCUUGAAUAAACAUCGUUUUUGUGACAUAAACAAGGAGAAAGAGUUUUCUUUUCUCUUGGAUUGACGUUGCUGGUCAAUAUAACGAGAAGCAACGAGAAUCCGACCAACUUAACUAAAACGUACGAGAUGAGAAAAGCCCUUUUGUAGUAGUGGAAAACAAAGAAACCUAAUAUUACUAGUAUUUGUUUUCUAUAUAUAGUUAAAAUUCAUAUGAGACUUAAUUACCAUGUAUUAUUAGUGACACAUGUAAUUAUUGUGUUGAAGUAAUACGGCAGCUAUUUGGUGGCUAACAUCGCAUGAUUCACUAAAUCACGAUUGGUAUAUUCAAAUUUAAAAUAAAUUACUUGAGACUGAAUAUUAAACUGCACUAAUUGUGGUUUGCUGCAUCAUAAUGUUAGGGACUAUAUAUAUAUGAUAAUAUCAAUAUAUUCAUAAUAUAAACAUAAAUAUAUAGUAAAGGGCAUACAUUAAGUUUGUUAUGCUAACAUAGAUAUAAACAUAGGAGCACAUGAAUUCAAGACAGUCCAAGCACAUACAAUAAAAAGAAAUUAAAAACAAAACAUAAGAGCACGCAUGCAUAUAUAUAUAUAUAAAUCAACAUAUCAUUCAUUAAUUAGUAGCUACUAUAAUUAAGUUCAUUAUUAUUUCAUUAAUUUCUAUCAACGACAGCUUCCACUAACCAUUCCUGUUGAAAAACAUGUACAUCCAGUAGGGCAAGAAGAAGAAAAAAUGCAUAACAUCUGAAAGAGAAGGUUCAUCACCAUGACGAGGAUUAUCAUUCAUCAUGGCUCGCCCUGCGGAACUGGUGGUGAUGAUAAAUAGAAAGAACACAACAACUAUGGUGACCAUCACAACAACUACUAACUUCUUAUUAUGCCUCUCCAUUUUUGGAAUAUUCAAUUCAUAAUUAUUAUAAUUAUUAUAAAUAUGAUAUCAUAUAUGUAUAUAUAUAUAUAGAUAGCACUAGAAAGCAUUAUGCCAUCUUAUCCUUUCCUCCCAUUAAAGUGGUCCAACCUUAAUUGCAUAUCUAUCUAGAUAGGGUUUUCAAUCGAUUUUUCAUAGCACUGAUAUAUAGGGCACUAUUUGCAUGGUAUCCCACCAAUUACAUUGAUUAAAUUUAAUAAUUUUUAAUAUUAGAAUUAUAAAUUAUAUAUAUAUUUAUACAUUGCCAACUCCAGUAAUGUUAGUAUAAACUUAUACUACCUCAUAACAUCAAUCAACUUUUUAUUGUCA